AUUGAACGCUGGCGGCAGGCCUAACACAUGCAAGUCGAACGAGUGGCGGACGGGUGAGUAAUGUCUGGGAAACUGCCUGAUGGAGGGGGAUCACUACUGGAAACGGUAGCUAAUACCGCAUACCAUCAGAUGUGCCCAGAUGGGAUUAGCUAGUGGGUGGGGUAACGGCUCACCAAGGCGACGAUCCCUAGCUGGUCUGAGAGGAUGACCAGACACAUUGGAACGGAGACACGGGCCAGAUUCCGACGGGAGGCAGCAGUGGGGAAUAUUUGACAAGGGGCGCAAGCCUGAUGAAGCCAUGCCGCGUGUAUGAAGAAGGCCUUCGGGUUGUAAAGUACUUUCAGCGGGGAGGCGUUACCCGCAGAAGAAGCACCGGCUAACUCCGUGCCAGCCGCCGCGGUAAUUC
RNAcentral lists this ribosomal RNA (406 nucleotides) under uncultured bacterium. RNAcentral's name for it is "partial 16S ribosomal RNA". It matches the Rfam family "Bacterial small subunit ribosomal RNA", at positions 30 to 526 of the family's 1533-position model. The record is from RNAcentral.